Molecule: transfer RNA, 77 nt
Filed under: Alphaproteobacteria bacterium
Lineage: Bacteria; Pseudomonadati; Pseudomonadota; Alphaproteobacteria
Description: tRNA-Arg
Rfam family: tRNA
About the family: Transfer RNA (tRNA) molecules are approximately 80 nucleotides in length. Their secondary structure includes four short double-helical elements and three loops (D, anti-codon, and T loops).
Source: RNAcentral
GCGUCCUUAGCUCAGCUGGAUAGAGCAACAGCCUUCUAAGCUGUGGGUCGCAGGUUCGAAUCCUGCAGGACGCACCA